CCUUAGAGAAGACAAUUAUUUUUCGCGUUUAUAUAUCUACAUGUAAACUACGAUUAUACUACUUUAAUAUAUAGAGACUGUCUGUAUUCUGUCAGGGACUUUCUAUGUUAGUAUGUUAGUAUAGAAAGUCGGCCCUGAUUCUGUCUACUGUUUUCUUUGAAAUUUUUACUAUUUAAGGGGUCAUACCACUUGCAUAUAUAUUAAAAUAAGUAAAACAUGCUCAACUUCAUCUAAAACUACCUCGACCAAAAACUUUAACCUGAAGCGGGACAGACACGGACGGACGAACGAACGAACGGAUGUACAGACUAGAAAACAUAAUGCCCAUAAAUGGGGCAUAACAAUUUAUUGUUGAAAGGGAAAAUAG
This 367-nucleotide long non-coding RNA is filed under the name Mytilus galloprovincialis (Mediterranean mussel). Lineage: Eukaryota; Metazoa; Mollusca; Bivalvia; Mytilida; Mytilidae. The record is from RNAcentral.